UGACUACCGGGGUUUCUAAUCCUGUUCGCUCCCCACGCUUUCGCUCCUCAGCGUCAGUAUCGGCCCAGAGAUCCGCCUUCGCCACCGGUGUUCCUCCUGAUAUCUGCGCAUUUCACCGCUACACCAGGAAUUCCGAUCUCCCCUGCCGAACUCCAGCCUGCCCGUAUCGAAUGCAGACCCGGGGUUAAGCCCCGGGCUUUCACAUCCGACGUGACAAGCCGCCUACGAGCUCUUUACGCCCAAUAAUUCCGGACAACGCUCGCACCCUACGUAUUACCGCGGCGGCUGACAC
Molecule: unclassified non-coding RNA, 292 nt
Filed under: uncultured fungus
Lineage: Eukaryota; Fungi
Description: sequence contains ITS1
Source: RNAcentral